This 244-nucleotide ribosomal RNA is filed under the name uncultured Staphylococcus sp. RNAcentral describes it as "partial 16S ribosomal RNA". It matches the Rfam family "Bacterial small subunit ribosomal RNA", at positions 96 to 334 of the family's 1533-position model. The record is from RNAcentral. Lineage: Bacteria; Bacillati; Bacillota; Bacilli; Caryophanales; Staphylococcaceae.
CGGCGGACGGGUGAGUAACACGUGGAUAACCUACCUAUAAGACUGGGAUAACUUCGGGAAACCGGAGCUAAUACCGGAUAAUAUUUUGAACCGCAUGGUUCAAAAGUGAAAGACGGUCUUGCUGUCACUUAUAGAUGGAUCCGCGCUGCAUUAGCUAGUUGGUAAGGUAACGGCUUACCAAGGCAACGAUUCAUAGCCGACCUGAGAGGGUGAUCGGCCACACUGGAACUGAGACACGGUCCAG